RNAcentral lists this ribosomal RNA (758 nucleotides) under uncultured archaeon. Its description in RNAcentral is "bacterial SSU rRNA". It matches the Rfam family "Archaeal small subunit ribosomal RNA", at positions 47 to 762 of the family's 1478-position model. The record is from RNAcentral.
AGCCAUGCGAGUCGAAUGGGAUACCUAAACUUCCCAUGGCAAACUGCUCAGUAACACAAGAUCAACUUAACCUAUAGAGAAAAAUAAUCUCGGGAAACUGAGGAUAAUGUUUCAUAGUUGAAUCGGCUUGGAAAAGUUUUUCAAUCAAAAGGAUAAGAAAAAUGGUUCUUAUUCGCUAUAGGAUAGGAUCGUGGACGAUUAUGGUUGUUGGUGAGGUAAUGGCUCACCAAGCCGAUAAUCGAUAGGGGCCGUGAGAGCGGGAGCCCCGAGAUGGGUACUUAGACAACGACCCAGGCCUUACGAGGCGCAGCAGGCGCGGAACCUCCGCAAUACACGAAAGUGUGACGGGGUUACCCAAAGUGUUCAGUUUUGGACUGUGGUAGGUGAGUAAUGUUCCCUACUAGAAAGGAGAGGGCAAGGCUGGUGCCAGCCGCCGCGGUAAAACCAGCUCUUCAAGUGGUCGGGAUAAUUAUUGGGCUUAAAGUGUCCGUAGCCGGUUUAGUAAGUUCCUGGUAAAAUCGGGUAGCUUAACUAUCCAUAUGCUAGGAAUACUGCUAUACUAGAGGGCGGGAGAGGUCUGAGGUACUACAGGGGUAGGGGUGAAAUCUUAUAAUCCUUGUAGGACCACCAGUGGCGAAGGCGUCAGACUGGAACGCGCCUGACGGUGAGGGACGAAAGCCAGGGGAGCGAACCGGAUUAGAUACGUCGUUGCUUUUGCACGACGCUAAAUACCCGGGUAGUCCUGGCCGUAAACGAUG